GACAAGAAUUGGCAUUCUAACCAAUACCAUUUUUUUCUCUAAAGCAGGAGAAAAAAAGAUAUUAUCAGAAGAAUUCUUUUCUCAUCAGAUACUAUAAUUAUACCAUCUGGGCUGUUGAGAGGAUGGCAUCUAAAUAUUGCAGUUCCCUUAGACAAGAAAGACCUGAGGGACCCUGAGGUCCUCUGGGAAUGCUGCAAAUUGCAUGUGCUGAGUAUGUGAAGAAAAGGUUCCCAGAAUCUCUUCCUCUAGAAUUGCAGCAACUAUUUGAGGCUGAGGUUAGAGUAGCCUUGAGAGAGCAAGGCUGAUUACCCUAUUGCAUCUCUCAGCUGCAUUGGAUUUUGCAUGUAAGUUAAACUAACCGUAAUACAUAUCCAGUGAUAAUGUAAUAGUUCCUUAUACCUGCUGUUCCAUUUCCUAAAUAUAGGUGUGUCUAAUUUAACUGGGAUAUUCAAGCUUUUUGUGUGAAUCUCAGUGUUUCCAUGAAACACUUAAUACUGAUGCUCAGAUUCUGGGAGACAUGAGAAUAUUCAUUUCACAGCUAUUGAUGGCUACACAAUAUCAACAUGCCACCUGAUAUGUGAUUCUCCAUAUAAAUCAAGAGAGAAAGAUGAUAAAAUAUUUUUAUUUUAAUUCAGAUCUUCAGAUGCUUAGUGUUUAAAAAACAAGACAGAUAUUGAAGCCUCGCUUGAGAUGUUUUAGGUUAACUUGUUGAUGUUAAGAAGUGUGUAUCUGAACAGAGCUCUCAGGACUGCAUAUUUCUCUAUGUGUUUCUGCGAACUAUUGACGAAAAUGUGGAAAUGUUCCCUGCUGUAGACUUCUCCAGUGAUUCCUGAUUCAUAAAUGACAGCCGAGUAUUAAAGUUAGAACACAAAGGAAAGCCAACUACUUGUAUCUUCUAUGUAGAGAGGUCAAAACUUUAAAGGGUAGCCUCAAAGUUUUCUAAACCUUUUGGACUCUGGUUUGUUUCUAACAUUUAUGACCAGUACACAUUCCUAAUUAUCUGUCCAUUGACUUUCGGCCUUCAAUAACAUCUCCAGUCAAGCAAAUUUUCCCAAGCCUUUUGCUAUGUGAUACCACAACAGUAAGACUGAGAAAAUAAAAUAUACAUUUGGAUUUUUUGCUUACAACAGAGUUUUUAGAUUCUAAUGUAGUUAUAAAAUGGGAAAAAAAAUCAGUGAUAAAUCAUGCCUUAUAAAUUUUGGUACUAUCAUGAAGCCUAAAGCAAGACAAAAAACCAAUGCAUUACUGUAGAUUUUUUUGGGGGGGAUAGACAUUAGAGAUUAAAUUACUGUAUUAAAUAAAAAGUAUUCAGGCUGUGGACAGAUUCAGUCAGGGAAGAAGACUGACACAGGGAGCAGCUGCAGCAGAAAUAGUAAAAGAAAAUCUGAACAAGGAAAUGCUACUGAGAAUCACUCUGUCUUAAUUGCUAAGAGAAUCAAUCCUUUUCCCCUGUAAUUCUGUGGAAUAUCAGUUUUAGAAGAGUUGUUUGAAAUCUUUAGGAAAAAAGAUGGAAGUAAUCGAUACACAAAAUAUGUUUUUUUUUCUUCUUUAAUAUUAUGUAAAAUGGAAAUACCAGUAUUUUCAUUCUAGUAUUAGACAUUGACUUAGUGACACA
This 1615-nucleotide long non-coding RNA is filed under the name Taeniopygia guttata (zebra finch). Its description in RNAcentral is "lncRNA (ENSTGUG00000019765.1)". Lineage: Eukaryota; Metazoa; Chordata; Aves; Passeriformes; Estrildidae. The record is from RNAcentral.